This 296-nucleotide unclassified non-coding RNA is filed under the name plant metagenome. RNAcentral's name for it is "partial contains small subunit ribosomal RNA, internal transcribed spacer 1, and 5.8S ribosomal RNA". The record is from RNAcentral.
UUUCCGUAGGUGAACCUGCGGAAGGAUCAUUAUUGAAAUAAACCUGAUGGAUUGCUGCUGGUUCAUUAAUGAAUAUGUGCGCAUCUGUCAUCUUUAUAUCCUCCACCUGUGCACUUUUUGUAGACCUGGAUAAGUUUCUUAAUGCUAGCAUUAAGGUUUGAGGACUGACUUUUGUCUUUCCUUACAUUUCCGGUCUACGUUUAUUCAUAUACCCCAAUGUAUGUUAAAGAAUGUAAUAAUUGGGCGUUUGCGCCUAUAACACUAUACAACUUUCAGCAACGGAUCUCUUGGCUCUC